AUGCUGAAGCACCCCGACCCGUUCAAGGACCUGUGGCUCGACCUCAAGGUCAUGGCCAACACCCUGCCCCGGUGCAAGCGCUCCGAGCGCGCGCGCACGGAGGUCGAGGCGCUCCUCGGCGCCGGCUGCAGCCCCGUGUGGCUCACUGGCCACUCCCUCGGAGCGUCCCUGGCGCUGGACGUGGGGCGGAGGAUGAUGGCGGAGAAUGGGGUGAGCCUCCCGACCUUCCUCUUCAACCCGCCGCAGGUGUCGCCCGCGCCGGUGAUCAACGCGCUGCGGCCGACGGAGGUGGGGAAGAGGGACCUGUACGCCACCAGCUACGUCUUGAAGGCCGGCCUCGGGCUGGUCCUCAGCCCCCACCGAAAGCGCAUGGAGGCGCUGUUCCAGAGGCUGGCCCCGUGGGCGCCGCGGCUGUACGUGCACGACAGGGACGUCGUCUGCCUGGGCUUCAUCGACUACUUCCAGCAGCGGCAGCUGAUUCAGGAGCGCUUCCGCGGGGUGGCCCGGUCGGCGAUGACGCUGUCGUACCGUGACAUGCUCUUCUCCUUGGUCGGCGCCGACAAGGAGCGGCCGCAUCUCCUGCCUUCGGCCAUGCUGGUGAAGAACUCCAGCGACUGCGACGCCCACGGGCUCGAGCAAUGGUGGAAGCCAGACGGCGAGCUCAACUUGAGCGCCACGCGUUACAGCUAUCCUGGAGCUUAA
Molecule: ribosomal RNA, 702 nt
Filed under: Triticum aestivum (bread wheat)
Lineage: Eukaryota; Viridiplantae; Streptophyta; Magnoliopsida; Poales; Poaceae
Description: partial small subunit ribosomal RNA
Source: RNAcentral